ACUCUCUUUUAAAUAUCAUAUUCAGUGCGUUUUUGCAUUUCGUGCGUGUCAGAUCGUUCGUCGUGCACUUCGUUCAACAAAAGCGACUAAAUUAGUGCCAAAUUUUACAACACAUGUCAUUUCAAACAAAAAAAAAAAAAAAAAGUAAUAAUAAAUACUGUGUGUGUAUGUGUGCAUGUGCAUGCAUAUCUGUGUGUGCGUGUGAGGAAGUUACAGUUUAAUGUUGGUUAGUCUCAAUUGUCGACGGCGACGCAUUGCGGCUGAUUGAUGCCAGUUGCUGCUGUUGUUGUUGCCUGCUGCUUUGGACAAACAAAUCAUGCAACAUGAGCCGAGAACUGAACGUGCUUUUAACAUUAAAGGUAAAUGACUUUACUUAACCAUAAAUAACUUGAUUCCACAUUUAAGUGCCCACGGUAAGUGCUGAGAACGCAAAUUGAGUAAAUGUAGGAAGCAAAAAAUAAAAAUAAAAAAAGAAAACUGCAAAGAAAUUUUAUAAGACUGUAAUUAAAUCUUAGACAGCCAAAAAAAAAAAAAAAAAAAAAAACUGUCGAAUAAGUGAAAUAAUGAAUUUAAAGUGGAUUUCCAAGGGCUCGGUAGAAACUGCUUUAAAUGUGCCCAGCUUCUACCGCGAAAUUAUAAACGCAUGAAUAGAAAUUGAAAGUUAUUAUCCCAUUUCAAAAUGUUUUCGAGCCACAAACAACGCUGACUUAAUCACAAUUUUUCCAAGCAGUUCCAUAGAUCUCUUUAUCUAUUUAACUACUACGUGAACUCUGUGUUAAGUGUAGCAUCUCAAGGCGUUUUCCUUUUUCUAAGCGACUCUUUAGCCCAGAUUUUGUCUGGUGCUCUCCAAAUAAAAUGAAAGCAAUUGCAGCAAAACGUUUCAAUUGAGCACUUGAUGGCUUUAAGUAAGUGUAUCGUAUUACUUCGCACGAAGCGUCAACUCAAUUGCAAUAUAAGAAUUAUUCGUGCCCUCCUUAUGGCACCCAGCUGUGCCCCCAACCCCUUGUCUGGUCUGGCCUUUAAUCUACAUAUUGUCUCGCGACUGGCACAGAUGCCUCCUGCUCACUCGCUUGUUCGUUCGUUUAUGCGACGUGCACCAUUGCUGACCCGCCAAUUAACACUGAAACAUUAUCGUCCAUGACCAAAUAUACACACAAACACAAACACAAAUACACAAAAACAUGCGUGUGUGUGUGUGUGUGUGUGUGUGUGUGUGUGUGUGUGUUUGUCUUGGCCAGCCCAAGCACUUUGGCCAAGUGAAACGGCGGCUCAACCAACAACAUCAAUUAACCUCGUCAAGGCAUUUCCACACGACGCUCGCCUUUUUCUUCCUCUACUGUGGAACAAAAACAAAGAAUUUUUUGCAGAAAGUCAAGAGAAGUUAAUGAAAAGCAUUUAAACGAACUUUUUUCGCAAAGCAUACAAUAAUGAUAACAUAUUAGAGAGCUGUUAAGCUAACAGCUGGUAAAAACAGCUGUUGCUUAUGCAAACUCGUGAACUUUUGUUUUGCUGACACAUUUUGCUGCAUGUGGUGGACAUUUAAACGUUUUAUUUGUUAAAAGAUAUUACAUUUCUGGCAUCGUUGGAAAAUUUGCUGUACAGAAAGUUAUAACAUUUUCAGCAUAGUUACAUUUGAUGUACAGCAUAACAUAUGUUUUAUACAUUUCCGUAAAAGUUCUAUUAUCAUAUGAAUUUAGUUGUUUUUUAAAUCCAUCUUUUUAUUGUUAUUUCAUGGGAUAAUAAGCGUGUAUGUGUGUGUUGGUUGAUUAUUAUGUGUACGCAUCGGAAUCGUAAGCAUGUUCUGUUCCUGUUAUUAUUCCUGUUUCUGUCCUUAUUCCUGUCUGUGUCCCCUAUUGCGAACUGGUGUCCGUUCUUCAUCUUGGGCAAAUAAACAAUCAAUGUUCAUUAUUUAUUUACGUCUGUUUACG
Drosophila virilis is the source of this 1928-nucleotide non-coding RNA. The record is from RefSeq and is a predicted model, not a curated record. NCBI's taxonomy places the organism in Eukaryota, Metazoa, Arthropoda, Insecta, Diptera, Drosophilidae.